This is a long non-coding RNA of Notothenia coriiceps (black rockcod), 283 nucleotides long. RefSeq lists it as uncharacterized. The record is from RefSeq and is a predicted model, not a curated record. Lineage: Eukaryota; Metazoa; Chordata; Actinopteri; Perciformes; Nototheniidae. The transcript is spliced from 3 exons.
GGCUGGAAAACCAUUUGAUGCAUCCUCAGUACAGGUUCUAAUCGAGGCUUUUACCAGGGAUCCAUAAGAAGAAUUCUGCUUAGAACAGCAUCAUAAAAGCUGGGAUGCUGUUGACUGCAAACUUGCUGGCACUUAUCUUCAUCUGGACAGGAAUGGCAGCUACAUCUGUUGUUCCACCAUGUGACCAUCACAUGUUUGAUAGUGGUGUUCAAAACUGCUUGUCAGACUUCAACAAGAGCAUGGAGACAACUGGCUAUCAACACAUGUGCCCAUGGCCUACUGU